CAGCUCUCCGAGUGGUAGGGAUGAUUAUUGGGCUUAAAGCGUCCGUAGCCUGCUUAGCAAGUCUCCUGUUAAAUUCAGCGACCUAAUCGUUGAGCCGCGGGAGAUACUACUAGGCUAGGAGGCGGGAGAGGUCGACGGUACUUCUGGGGUAGGGGUGAAAUCCUAUAAUCCCAGGAGGACCACCAGUGGCGAAGGCUGUCGACUAGAACGCGCUCGACGGUGAGGGAUGAAAGCUGGGGGAGCGAACCGGAUUAGAUACCCGAGUAGUCC
This 270-nucleotide ribosomal RNA is filed under the name uncultured archaeon. RNAcentral's name for it is "partial 16S ribosomal RNA". It matches the Rfam family "Archaeal small subunit ribosomal RNA", at positions 477 to 747 of the family's 1478-position model. The record is from RNAcentral.